This is a long non-coding RNA of Rhodamnia argentea, 633 nucleotides long. RefSeq lists it as uncharacterized. Lineage: Eukaryota; Viridiplantae; Streptophyta; Magnoliopsida; Myrtales; Myrtaceae. The record is from RefSeq and is a predicted model, not a curated record. The transcript is spliced from 2 exons.
GUUCUCAUCCGAUGGAGGAGAUCUUGGGUCCGAGUCAUUUUGUGGCGGAAUAAAAAUGUUAUUUGCAUGGAGUUACAUUGCUAAAUGAUAUGGGGAGUGACUGGUCCACACGUAAAACAUGGUGAUGUAACUUUGACAGAGGAGAGCACAAAGAUUUUCGAUCUUCAACACGUUCCGAGCGAAGGCAACUUCUUACUCUUGGUAACUUGGAUCGUCAAAUUUUCUGCUAGCUUGGGGUGGUCUUGUUCACCUUCUACAUGAGAGUCUCUGUGUUGUCCGAUGCCUUAAAUUAGACAUGUCGAGAUAAAAGUUAAAACCACGAUAAUCGGAAAGAUCCAUGUCGUUUCCUCUAUUGUAAGGAUGGAAGCUCUGGCUCGAGUGUUACGCAAUAUUGGUGAACUUGUGGAUCCACAUGCAAAUAUUCACCACGAGCUCAAGUUUAUACAUAACUCGCGUAUUUAUACACCAUCACACACUGUUUCAUCACCCGUCAAGUGUUAUAUAGGAUCUCCUCUGCAUCAAUCAGAAUACAAUAAAGAGGUACCGCGGUCCUUCCACGUUAGGCUAAAUAGAUUUUGCCCGCUCCUUUCCCUGCCUCCUGUACUGUCGAAGUGUGUAACAGUAGAAAAAUUG